AACGCACAUUGCGCCCCUCGGUAUUCCGUGGGGCAUGCCUGUUCGAGCGUCAUCUACACCCUCAGCAUUGCUUGGUGUUGGGCGUCUGUCCCGCCUCCGCGCGGCGACUCGCCCCAAAGGCAUUGGCAGCGGUCUCUUGCACCUCUCGCGCAGCACAUUGCGCUUCUCGAGGCGAGGCAGGCCGCGACCACGAAGCUUUUAUUCGUCUUUGACCUCGGAUCAGGUAGGGAUACCCGCUGAACUUAA
RNAcentral lists this unclassified non-coding RNA (246 nucleotides) under uncultured fungus. RNAcentral describes it as "sequence contains ITS2". Lineage: Eukaryota; Fungi. The record is from RNAcentral.